This 62-nucleotide transfer RNA is filed under the name Physella acuta. RNAcentral's name for it is "transfert RNA-X(TGN)". Lineage: Eukaryota; Metazoa; Mollusca; Gastropoda; Physidae. The record is from RNAcentral.
AGAAACAUGGUUUAAAUAAAACAUUAAGUUNCAAACUUAAAAAUGGUUGUGACCUGUUUUUU